GAUGAACGCUGGCGGCGUGCCUAAUACAUGCAAGUCGAGCGAACGGACGAGAAGCUUGCUUCUCUGAUGUUAGCGGCGGACGGGUGAGUAACACGUGGAUAACCUACCUAUAAGACUGGGAUAACUUCGGGAAACCGGAGCUAAUACCGGAUAAUAUUUUGAACCGCAUGGUUAAAAAGUGAAAGACGGUCUUGCUGUCACUUAUAGAUGGAUCCGCGCUGCAUUAGCUAGUUGGUAAGGUAACGGCUUACCAAGGCAACGAUGCAUAGCCGACCUGAGAGGGUGAUCGGCCACACUGGAACCGAGACACGGUCCAGACGCCUACGGGAGGCAGCAGUAGGGAAUCUUCCGCAAUGGGCGAAAGCCUGACGGAGCAACGCCGCGUGAGUGAUGAAGGUCUUCGGAUCGUAAAACUCUGUUAUUAGGGAAGAACAUAUGUGUAAGUAACUGUGCACAUCUUGACGGUACCUAAUCAGAAAGCCACGGCUAACUACGUG
RNAcentral lists this ribosomal RNA (497 nucleotides) under uncultured bacterium. RNAcentral describes it as "partial 16S ribosomal RNA". It matches the Rfam family "Bacterial small subunit ribosomal RNA", at positions 28 to 507 of the family's 1533-position model. The record is from RNAcentral.